GUGAUCGCUUUGGCAGCACAUAUCCUAAAACUGUAAUGAUACAGAGAAGAUUAGCAUGGCCUCUGCGCAAGGAUGACAUGCAAAUCCAGCCGGUAUGGCUCAGUGGU
Molecule: small nuclear RNA, 107 nt
Organism: Molossus molossus (Pallas's mastiff bat)
Lineage: Eukaryota; Metazoa; Chordata; Mammalia; Chiroptera; Molossidae
Source: RefSeq, a predicted model, not a curated record